ACAACUCCUUUCCAUGGGUCUGAGUUAUGACCUCCCAAGCAUAUUCUGGUCUUGUUAGGUGAGGGGUUCGUGAAAAGCGGGUCAGAUCGACGCAGGGUCCCCAUCACUAGCCCCCUGAAUUGUAGCUCCGAUCUCACACCGCGCUUGCACGCUUCCGCAUGGCGUCAUCGCCUGUCUGUCAUCCUCCUUUUCUCACCGCAACCGUAUCGAGCUUUUCCUCCGC
Molecule: long non-coding RNA, 223 nt
Filed under: Physcomitrium patens
Lineage: Eukaryota; Viridiplantae; Streptophyta; Bryopsida; Funariales; Funariaceae
Description: long non-coding RNA (PPAT_LNC005006)
Source: RNAcentral